This is a long non-coding RNA of Puntigrus tetrazona (Sumatra barb), 512 nucleotides long. RefSeq lists it as uncharacterized. Lineage: Eukaryota; Metazoa; Chordata; Actinopteri; Cypriniformes; Cyprinidae. The transcript has 3 exons. The record is from RefSeq and is a predicted model, not a curated record.
UGUAUCAGGUCAGCUGGUUGAUUUGCCGGUGUUUGUCGUGUUGAGUUGUUAGUUGUGUAAAGUAAGAGCUGGUGUUUGGAUCGUAUCGGACUCGUGAUGAUGAGCUGACGGUGAAAUCUACUCCGGUUACAACACAGGGGUAAAAGAGUUUAUAUUUCCAUAGCAACGCGUCAGCCGCUGAUAAUGAGUCUCCUGACGCAGCUCAGAUUGUUACUGUGGAAGAACUUUACUCUACGGAGCAGACAGAAGAAAGAGGAGGCUCUGGUCGACCUGGAACAGGUGUGUGUAAGAACGAGCAGAUUUCAUUGGUCCUCGGAGAGUGAAAAACGGCCUCACCUUCACAAAGCACGCGUGGGAUUAUUCAUCACAUCUCACAGCUCCUCUGGAGAACAUGAUUGAUGAGCGAGAUCGGAUCGAGUGCUAAUGAUUACGGGGUGUGUUCGGUUCAAGCGCUGCGCUAAUGCCAGUAAUAAGCAUCAUAAUGCUGGGGGUGGGCUUCGUCCAACUAGUGC